GUGAGAAACAAAGGAAAGAAACCAAAAGCACCUUCCCCCCUCAUCCACCCUUUUCCACCUCCUCCCCCCGAGCGGUGCAGGGGAACGGGGGAAUGGGGGUUAUGGUCAGUCUACAGCGCUUCUUCUCUGCCACUCCUCAGUCACUCUCAUCCCCUGUGCUGUGGGGUCCCUCCCAAGGGAUACAGUCCUUGAUGAACUGAUCUGGCGUGGGCUUCCCACAGGCAGCAGCUCUUCCGGAGCUGCUCCAGAUAUGGGUCCGUUCCAUGGGGUCCAUCCCUCAGGAGAAAACUGCUCCAACCUGGGUCCCCUACAGGCACCAGCUCCUUCUAGGUCACCUGCUCCUGCGUGGGCUCCUCUCCACGGGCUACAGGUCCGGCCCGGAAUCUGCUCUGGCAGGCAUCUUCACAUGCGGCAGCAUCCGUCGGUGCAGGGCCACCUGCUCCACUGUGUUCUCCUCCACGGGCUGCAGAGUGGAACCCUGCUCCCCCGUGGUACUCCAUGGGCUGCAGGGGGACAUCCUGCUUCACCAUGGUCCUCACCACAGGCCGCAGGGAUCUUCUGCUCUGGCACCUGGAGCACCUCUCUCCCUCCUUCUGCACUGACCUUAGCACCUGCAAGGCUGUUCCUCACUCCUCUCACUCUCCCUGCUGCUGUGUGGUGCAGUGAUUUUUUCCCUGUCUUAAAUAUGCACUCACAGAGACACAAAACAACAUCACUUAUUGGCUCAGCUCUGGUCAGCAGUGGGGCCCUUACCAAACAUGGGGCAGCUUCUAGAUCCUUCUCACAGAAAGGAUCCUUAUGGCCCCCUGCUACCAAAACCUUGCCAUGUAAACCCACUACAAUGCUUAAGAACAUGAGAAGGGGAAGUUGGAAAGAAAGUUACAUGUCAAGAAUCUUGUCAAAGCUGUUUUUUGGGUACAAUUCAUUUCCCUUUCCAGACUCCAAUCAACGGGCAGAGAAGAAAGACAGGAAAGACUGUGUCCUGGUUUCAGUCAGAAUUAAUUUUCUUCCUAGUAGCUGGUGGAAUGCUGUGUUUUGGCUUAGGAUGAGAAGAGUGCUGAUAACACCCCAAUGCUUUAAUUGUUGCAGAGCAGUGCUUAUACUAAGCCAAGGACAUUUCAGCCUUUUGCUCUGUCCUGCCAAUGGGCAGGCUGGGGGUGCAAUAAGAGCUGGGAGGGGACAGACCCAGGACAUCUGACCCAAACUAGCCAAAGGGGUAUUCCAUACCAUCUGACGUCAUGCUNNNNNNNNNNNNNNNNNNNNNNNN
This 1267-nucleotide long non-coding RNA is filed under the name Anas platyrhynchos platyrhynchos (common mallard). RNAcentral describes it as "lncRNA (ENSAPLG00000024954.1)". The record is from RNAcentral. Lineage: Eukaryota; Metazoa; Chordata; Aves; Anseriformes; Anatidae.